Molecule: small nucleolar RNA, 80 nt
Organism: Balaenoptera musculus (blue whale)
Lineage: Eukaryota; Metazoa; Chordata; Mammalia; Artiodactyla; Balaenopteridae
Product: small nucleolar RNA SNORD115
Exons: 1
Source: RefSeq, a predicted model, not a curated record
GGGUCAAUGACGAGAACUCAUAUGAUCAUGAAGAGAGAUGAGGACCAAAAAUCAUGCUCAAUAGGAUUACACUGAGGCCC